This 213-nucleotide ribosomal RNA is filed under the name uncultured Anaerolineaceae bacterium. RNAcentral's name for it is "partial 16S ribosomal RNA". It matches the Rfam family "Bacterial small subunit ribosomal RNA", at positions 1168 to 1381 of the family's 1533-position model. Lineage: Bacteria; Bacillati; Chloroflexota; Anaerolineae; Anaerolineales; Anaerolineaceae. The record is from RNAcentral.
GGAAGUGGGACGACGUCAAGUCAGCAUGACCUUUAUAUCCAGGCUACACACACGCUACAAUGGUCAGUACAAUGGGUUGCCAAGCCGCGAGGCGGAGCCAAAUCCUAAAAAGCUGGCCUCAGUUCAGAUUGCAGUCUGAAACUCGACUGCAUGAAGUCGGAGUUGCUAGUAAACGCAGGUCAGCUAUACUGCGUUGAAUACGUUCCCGGGCUU